CACCGGCAGCUCUAGUGGUAGCAGUUUUUAUUGGGCCUAAAGCGUCCGUAGCCGGUUUAGUAAGUCUCUGGUGAAAUCCUGUAGCUUAACUGUGGGAAUUGCUGGAGAUACUAUUAGACUUGAGACCGGGAGAGGUUAGAGGUACUCCCAGGGUAGAGGUGAAAUUCUGUAAUCCUGGGAGGACCGCCUGUUGCGAAGGCGUCUAACUGGAACGGUUCUGACGGUGAGGGACGAAAGUUAGGGGCGCGAACCGGAUUAGAUACCCGGGUAGUCCUAACUGUAAACGAUGCGGACUUGGUGUUGGGGUGGCUUUGAGCUGUUCCAGUGCCGAAGGGAAGCUGUUAAGUCCGCCGCCUGGGAAGUACGGUCGCAAGACUGAAACUUAA
This 386-nucleotide ribosomal RNA is filed under the name uncultured methanogenic archaeon. RNAcentral's name for it is "bacterial SSU rRNA". It matches the Rfam family "Archaeal small subunit ribosomal RNA", at positions 474 to 859 of the family's 1478-position model. Lineage: Archaea; Methanobacteriati; Methanobacteriota. The record is from RNAcentral.